Molecule: transfer RNA, 72 nt
Filed under: Ovis aries (sheep)
Lineage: Eukaryota; Metazoa; Chordata; Mammalia; Artiodactyla; Bovidae
Rfam family: tRNA
About the family: Transfer RNA (tRNA) molecules are approximately 80 nucleotides in length. Their secondary structure includes four short double-helical elements and three loops (D, anti-codon, and T loops).
Source: Rfam by way of RNAcentral
CCCCUGGUGGUUCAGUGGUUAAGAAUCUGCCUUCCAAUGCAGGGGACACAGGUUCGAUUCCUGGUCAGGGAA